GGAAUCUUCGGCAAUGGGGGCAACCCUUACCGAGCAACGCCGCGUGAGUGAAGAAGGUUUUCGGAUCGUAAAGCUCUGUUGUAAGAGAAGAACGUGUGUGAGAGUGGAAAGUUCACACAGUGACGGUAACUUACCAGAAAGGGACGGCUAACUACGUGCCAGCAGCCGCGGUAAUACGUAGGUCCCGAGCGUUGUCCGGAUUUAUUGGGCGUAAAGCGAGCGCAGGCGGUUUCUUAAGUCUGAUGUGAAAGCCUUCGGCUCAACCGAAGAAGGGCAUCGGAAACUGGGAAACUUGAGUGCAGAAGAGGACAGUGGAACUCCAUGUGUAGCGGUGAAAUGCGUAGAUAUAUGGAAGAACACCAGUGGCGAAGGCGGUUGUCUGGUCUGUAACUGACGCUGAGGCUCGAAAGCAUGGGUAGCAAACA
Molecule: ribosomal RNA, 425 nt
Filed under: uncultured bacterium
Lineage: Bacteria
Description: bacterial SSU rRNA
Rfam family: Bacterial small subunit ribosomal RNA
Source: RNAcentral